Long non-coding RNA from Patella vulgata (common limpet), 941 nucleotides. RefSeq lists it as uncharacterized. The record is from RefSeq and is a predicted model, not a curated record. The transcript is spliced from 4 exons. Lineage: Eukaryota; Metazoa; Mollusca; Gastropoda; Patellidae.
UUUUCGUCCACGUUUACUCAGUUGAAUCCGUUCUUAAAAAUUAUAUCAUUUCUUGUCUGGGUUUUGUUAGUUGUUGUCUUAAGACAUCAUGUUGGCUAUUAGAAUAUUACUUUUAUUAUUAACAGUUAGUACAAUCAUAGUUGGUGGACGCAGAAUAAAGGAUGGAGAUAUAUAUAUAAAAAAGAACUGACAGUUUAAGAAGAAAUAUCCUGAGAUUAGCAGGUUUGUCGAUGACGUCAAGCUAUACAUGCCUAUCUUUUCUGUAAGUACUACGUUUGAAACGGUUACACCACAGAUAAGACUGUUUGAUGAACUCAAGACACAUGUUUAUACAUUCCAUGUUGAAAGCUUGACAAAGGAUGAACUCGUUCAAUUAUUGGAUGAUCUGGGCUUCCACAGGAAGCCACAGUACAUGAUGGAAUUGCCGGAGAAAUAUAAAAAUGGUGCAAGUCCUUCUGACAGUGGAAUAACAUUCGAUGAUUUAAUGGCGGGAAAUACAAAGUGGUCUCAAUACGGCACAAUAAUUAAUGCUCAUGAUGAAAUUUAAAUUUCAUACCGCCGUAAUUGCAUAAGUACAAUCAAAUAAAAGAAAUAUACAACUUCAAAACAAAAAACACAAAUCUUUAAUAAUUAAACGAGAAAACAUAAGAUUCAUUCAGAACAAAAAUUAAUGGUUUUAUGAUCACCAUUUAAAUAUCAAUUUAUGUAUGAUUCCUGGGACCGGAUGUUAUUUUGCUAAAUGAAUGGGGCAGAAUGCUAGCAAAACUGUUGUUUUUAGAGAAUUUAGUACAAGUUACUAGUUGUAAAGCAUUUCAAAUUUUGAUGACACUCUUUGUCGAAACAGUUUUUAACUGAGAUGAAGGGUUGAUGGAUAUGAUUUAAAAUGUUUUGUAUAUUUAUGUAAUUCGUAUUGAUUUCAAAUAAAACGAAGUCAUAUUUUA